This 887-nucleotide ribosomal RNA is filed under the name Escherichia coli. RNAcentral's name for it is "partial 23S ribosomal RNA". It matches the Rfam family "Bacterial large subunit ribosomal RNA", at positions 375 to 1265 of the family's 2925-position model. Lineage: Bacteria; Pseudomonadati; Pseudomonadota; Gammaproteobacteria; Enterobacterales; Enterobacteriaceae. The record is from RNAcentral.
GUACACAAAAAUGCACAUGCUGUGAGCUCGAUGAGUAGGGCGGGACACGUGGUAUCCUGUCUGAAUAUGGGGGGACCAUCCUCCAAGGCUAAAUACUCCUGACUGACCGAUAGUGAACCAGUACCGUGAGGGAAAGGCGAAAAGAACCCCGGCGAGGGGAGUGAAAAAGAACCUGAAACCGUGUACGUACAAGCAGUGGGAGCACGCUUAGGCGUGUGACUGCGUACCUUUUGUAUAAUGGGUCAGCGACUUAUAUUCUGUAGCAAGGUUAACCGAAUAGGGGAGCCGAAGGGAAACCGAGUCUUAACUGGGCGUUAAGUUGCAGGGUAUAGACCCGAAACCCGGUGAUCUAGCCAUGGGCAGGUUGAAGGUUGGGUAACACUAACUGGAGGACCGAACCGACUAAUGUUGAAAAAUUAGCGGAUGACUUGUGGCUGGGGGUGAAAGGCCAAUCAAACCGGGAGAUAGCUGGUUCUCCCCGAAAGCUAUUUAGGUAGCGCCUCGUGAAUUCAUCUCCGGGGGUAGAGCACUGUUUCGGCAAGGGGGUCAUCCCGACUUACCAACCCGAUGCAAACUGCGAAUACCGGAGAAUGUUAUCACGGGAGACACACGGCGGGUGCUAACGUCCGUCGUGAAGAGGGAAACAACCCAGACCGCCAGCUAAGGUCCCAAAGUCAUGGUUAAGUGGGAAACGAUGUGGGAAGGCCCAGACAGCCAGGAUGUUGGCUUAGAAGCAGCCAUCAUUUAAAGAAAGCGUAAUAGCUCACUGGUCGAGUCGGCCUGCGCGGAAGAUGUAACGGGGCUAAACCAUGCACCGAAGCUGCGGCAGCGACACUAUGUGUUGUUGGGUAGGGGAGCGUUCUGUAAGCCUGUGAAGGUGUACUGUG